Molecule: ribosomal RNA, 253 nt
Filed under: uncultured bacterium
Lineage: Bacteria
Description: partial 16S ribosomal RNA
Rfam family: Bacterial small subunit ribosomal RNA
Source: RNAcentral
UACGGAGGGGGCUAGCGUUGUUCGGAAUUAUUGGGCGUAAAGAGCUCGUAGGCGGUUUGUCGCGUCUGCUGUGAAAACUCGGGGCUUAACCCCGGGCCUGCAGUGGGUACGGGCAGACUAGAGUGCGGUAGGGGAGACUGGAAUUCCUGGUGUAGCGGUGAAAUGCGCAGAUAUCGGGAGGAACACCAAUUGCGAAGGCAGCUCGCUGGGACGGUACUGACGCUGAGGCGCGAAAGCGUGGGGAGCAAACAGG